This 198-nucleotide ribosomal RNA is filed under the name uncultured beta proteobacterium. Its description in RNAcentral is "partial 16S ribosomal RNA". It matches the Rfam family "Bacterial small subunit ribosomal RNA", at positions 335 to 525 of the family's 1533-position model. Lineage: Bacteria; Pseudomonadati; Pseudomonadota; Betaproteobacteria. The record is from RNAcentral. RNAcentral also lists the same sequence under 1 other name.
ACUCCUACGGGAGGCAGCAGUGGGGAAUUUUGGACAAUGGGCGCAAGCCUGAUCCAGCAAUGCCGCGUGCAGGAUGAAGGCCUUCGGGUUGUAAACUGCUUUUGUACGGAACGAAAAGCCCUGGGUUAAUACCCUGGGGUCAUGACGGUACCGUAAGAAUAAGCACCGGCUAACUACGUGCCAGCAGCCGCGGUAAUA